Molecule: ribosomal RNA, 515 nt
Filed under: uncultured bacterium
Lineage: Bacteria
Description: bacterial SSU rRNA
Rfam family: Bacterial small subunit ribosomal RNA
Source: RNAcentral
GAUGAACGCUAGCUACAGGCUUAACACAUGCAAGUCGAGGGGCAGCAUUUUUUAUUAGCAAUAUAAAAGAUGGCGACCGGCGCACGGGUGAGUAACACGUGGGUGGCCUGCCUUCGAGUGGGGGAGUAACCUUCCGAAAGGAGGGCUAAUACCGCAUGACAUACCGUGUUUGGAUACACGGAUAUCAAAGCCGGGGAUCGCAAGACCUGGCGCUUGGAGAGGGCCCGCGUCCGAUUAGCUAGUUGGUGAGGUAACGGCUCACCAAGGCUCCGAUCGGUAUCCGGCCCUGAGAGGGCGGACGGACACACUGGAACUGAGACACGGUCCAGACUCCUACGGGAGGCAGCAGUGGGGAAUUGUUCGCGAUGGGCGAAAAGCCUGACGACGCAACGCCGCGUGGAGGAAUGAAGAAUUUCGGUUCGUAAACUCCUUUCGACCGAGAUGAAUACCCAUGGACCCAACACGUCCGUGGGCUGACAGUAUCGAGAGAAGAAGCCCCGGCUAACUCUGUGCCA